Molecule: long non-coding RNA, 7409 nt
Organism: Hypanus sabinus (Atlantic stingray)
Lineage: Eukaryota; Metazoa; Chordata; Chondrichthyes; Myliobatiformes; Dasyatidae
Exons: 3
Source: RefSeq, a predicted model, not a curated record
CGGCACAACAUUGUGGGCCGAAGGGCCUGUGAUGUGCUGUAGGUUUCUAUGGUCCAUGUUUAGUGAAACAUUGGAGCAUUCUGCUCCUCUGGCUUGGCUUUGCUUGGGGAACAACUUGAAGUUCAGAGUUAUAGAGCAUUACAGCACAGAAAUAGGCCCUUCAGCCCACCUAGUCCAUGCUGAACUGUUACUCUGUCUGGUUCCAUGCACCACAGCCCUCGACACCCUCCAUACCCCUCCCAUUCAGGUACAAUAGACAAUAGACAAUAGGUGCAGAAGUAGACCAUUUGGCCCUUCGAGCCUGCACCACCAUCUUGAGAUCAUGGCUGAUCAUCUACUAACAAUACCCAGUUCCUGCCUUGUCCCCAUAUCCCUCGAUUCCCCCAUCCAUAAGAUACCUAUCUAGCUCCUUCUUGAAAGCAUCCAGAGAAUUGGCCUCCACUGCAUUCUGAGGCAGUGCAUUCCAGACCCCCAUAACUCUCUGGGAGAAGAAGUUUUUCCUUAACUCUGUCCUAAAUGACCUACCCCUUAUUCUCAAACCAUGCUCUCUGGUACUGGACUCUCCCAGCAUCUGGAACAUAUUACCUGCCUCCAUCUUGUCCAAUCCCUUAAUAAUCUUAUAUGUUUCAAUCAGAUCCCCUCUCAAUCUCCUUAACUCCAGCAUGUACAAGCCCAGUCUCUCUAACCUCUCUGCGUAAGACAGUCCAGACAUCCCAGGAAUUAACCUCUUGAAUUUACGCUACACUUCCUCUACAGCCAGGAUGUCCUUCCUUAACCCUGGAGACCAAAACUGUACACAAUACUCCAGGUGUGGUCUCACCAGGGCUCUGUACAAAUGCAAGAGGAUUUCCUUGCUCUUGUACUCAAUUCCCUUUGUAAAAAAGGCCAACAUUCCAUUAGCCUUCUUCACUGCCUGCUGCACCUGCUCAUUCACCUUCAGUGACUGAUGAACAAGGACUCCUAGAUCUCUUUGUAUUUCUCCCUUACCGUUCAGAUAAUAAUCUGCCUUCCUGUUCUUACACCCAAGGUGGAUAACCUCACACUUACUCACAUUAAACGCCAUCUGCCAAGUAUCUGCCCAUUCACCCAGCCUAUCCAAGUCACCCUGAAUUCUCCUAACAUCCUCAUCACAUGUCACACUGCCACCCAGCUUAGUAUCAUCAGCAAACUUGCUGAUGUUAUUCUCAAUGCCUUCAUCCAAAUCGUUGAUGUGAAUGGGUAGCCUGCCAAACUUCCCCUAAGUAUUACAAUUGAACCCACAUCCAGCACUUGCGCUGGCAGCUGAUUCUGCACUCUGAGUGAACAAACUCCCCCUCUUAAAUAUUUCACUUUUCACCCUUACCCUAUGAUCUCUAGAUCUAUUCUCACCCAACCUCAGCAGAAAAAGCCCGCUUGCAUUUGCCCCAUCUGAGGCCUCCAUCGGUCAGCUGUUGCGUCCCAGCUGUCUGGAUACACAAGCCUGGGCAGAAUACCUGUGUAGCGAGCUCCACCUCUCCACGCAGCUGAAGAACCCAAAGGAACGGCAAAGACCGAUACGGUUUGGUGUCAGCAGUGCUGCUGAGUUGCCAGUCAGUGUUGAACACAAUGUAGGAGCCUCAGGGGCUUCAGCUCCGGAUUUUCCCCUCAGGGUUCACUCCUGAGCCUUCCUCCGUGAGUGGGUGUAGCCGCAAGGCGGCGGGGGUGUGGGAUCAGAGUUUUCCUUCUCCACGGCUGAUCAACCCCAUCUGCCAAAGCCACUGGCUUUGCCUCUUCUCCUGUCAGUAGAGAUGGAUCUGCUGGGCUCAGUAGCUAGGCCACACGUGAAGGCCAGGAGCUGGAGUUGGUUGUCAGAGACUGUUUGACAUUCACACUGUUGGGAGCACGUAAUAGGUAAUGGGGGCAAUCUAUACCCCUCAUAAUAUUGUGUACUAUCAAACCUUUCCUCAUUCUCCUGCGCUCUAGGGAACAGAAUAGUAACCAAUCCAACCUUUCCCUAUAAUUCAACUCCCCAAGAUCCUUGUCAAUUUUCUCUGCACUCUUUCAACUUUAUUCACAUCUUUCCUGCAGGUAGCUGACCAGAAGUUGACACAAUGCUCCAAAUUAGGCCUCACCAAUGUCUUAUAACAUCCCAACUCCUGUACUCAAAACCCUGAUUCAUGAAGGCCAAAAGCUCUCUUUACCGCCCUAUCUACGCGUGACGGCACUUUUAAGGAAUGAUGUACCUGUAUUCCCAGAUCCCUCUGUUCCACCGCAGGCUUCGGAGCCCUGUCAUUUACCGUGUAAGUCCCACCUCACUCUUGCUAAAUUAAAUUCCAUCUGCUACUUGUCUGCAUUAGAUUCUGUUUGCUGUUUUCCAGCUGGUGUACACCAGCUUUGAUAGUCUUCCUCGCAGUGCCUUGCAACCCCGAUCUUGGUGUCGCCUGCAAAUCUGCUGAUCCAGUUUACGGCAUCAUCAUCUGAUCUUGAAGUUUGUGGUCAUCUUCUGCCUCUGAUUCUUGUCAAAGCACACUCCUGCCAGGCAGUGAGAAGACUGCAGCUCGAGAGCUGGAAAGUGCCGGCUAAGAGCAAAGUGCCUCUCCACUUCACCUCUGGCACGGUGGGACGCUUGGCUGCGGAAAUCGUCUCAGUUAGUGGAGGCUGCUGUUCCACUACUUCUCACUGUGACGGAGAACAGGCAGUCAAUACACAUAUAUACAUAUGUAUGUAUACAUAAACACACAUAUAUACGCACACACAUAUAUACACACAGACACACACACACACACAUAUAUACAUACAGACACACACACACAUAUAUACAUACAUACAGGCCUGUGCUAAAGUCUUAGGCACUUACACAUUUAGGUUGCCUAAGACUUUUGCACAGGACUGUAUUUGUCGACGUGGAGCGGAGAGCGAGUUUGUAAACCUGGCGGGAGCAAAGGAUGUCGGGAAUGGCGAGGGGUGAAGCGCCGCGGGAGGGGUGUGGGACAGGUGGCAGAGAAGGAGUGCCGGGGCAGUUGGUGGCAAAGGUGCAGACGCAGCCAACCCUGAGACACCAGGCAAGGUCAUUUGAUUCCAAACAAUUGGUUUAUUGACCAUUACAGACCAUUAUUGACCAUUACCCCCCCUUCCCAACCAUGAUUCCCCUCUCCCUGCCCCCUUCCCACUCUCAGUCCACAAUAGAGACCCAGAUCAGAAUCAGGUUUAUCAUCACUCACACAUGUCAUGAAAUUUGUUUUUUUUUGUGGCAGCAGUACAGUGCAAAACAUAAAAUUACUACAGGACUGUGCAAAAGUCUUAGGCACACUGGCUAUAUAUAUGUGGCUGAGACUGUAACAACUGCUUGUUGUUUUGCAGUAACAGUACAGAGUAACACACAAGAAAUUAUAAAUUGCAAUAAGAAAAGUGCACAUAUGCAAAUAUGCAGCAAACUUCUUGGCAUAUAUCGGUGAUAAUAAACCUGAAUCACAUCAUCAUUCUGAAGAUCACAGCUUCUCUUCUCCCUUCUCAUUCUCGUUGUAUCUCAUACUUCCCCAUCCUCCAUUCAUUGACCAGUCAGCGACAACACCCAGUUUCCUGUUGUGUAAUCUGUCCGCACUGUUCCUGAUAAUCCGCAUGUCAGCAGCCAGCACAGACGUGCGUUGAGAAAUUAUGUUUGGCGGAAAUGUGCGGCAUGGAGAGGCCUCGUGAGUGCUCACAAUGAGUACUGGUUACAAUCAUGAUGAGGGAUCUCGAUCUGCGAUCAUUUUUGCCGUGUAGGUACCCUGUGGCCACUUUAAUAGGUACACCUAACGCAGUGGUCACUGAGUGUAUGCUCCUGGUCUUCUGCUGCUAUAGAUCGUCCGAUUCAAGGGUUGAUGUGUUGUGCAUUCAGAGAUGCUCCCUGCAUACCACUGUUGUAAUGUGUGGUUACUUGGGUGUCAGAGAACCAGUCUGGCCAUUUUCCUCUGAUCCCUCUUAUUAACAAGCAUUUUCGCCACAGAACUGACACUCACUGGAAGUUUUUUUUUGUUAUAUAUACCGUUCGAUGUCCACUGUACAGACUGCUGUGUGUGAAAAUCCCAAGAGAUCUGCAUUUUCUGAGAUACUCAAACCACCCCAUCUGGCACCGACAAUCAUUCCACAGUCUAAGUCACUCAGGUUACAUUUCCCCUUCAACUUUUCACCUUUCACCCUUAACCCAUGACUUCUGGUUGUAGUCUCACCCAACCUUAGUGGAAAGAGCCCUAUCUAUACCCCUAUCAGAUCUCCUCUCAAUCUUCUAUGUUCCAAGGAAUAAAGUCCUAACCUAUUCAAUCCCUCUUUAUGAUGCAGGUCCUCCAGAGAGGAGGAUUUCUCCAUCUCCAUUGUGAGUUGAAUGCACAAGACCCAGCACCAUCGUCCAACAGCAUCAGAGGAGAGAGAGAAUGGUUUCCGCUUGUUCCUGGACAUUCUAAUACGAUGGAAACCUGACGGUAGCCUCAGGCAUGGCGUCUACUGGAACUCACUCACAUGGACUUGUACCUCAACAAUAACAGCCACCAUCACGCCUCCCAAUGCAGAGCGGUUUGUUCUACUUUGAUUAACCGUGUGAGAACUAUUUUGGACCCAGAGAGUCCCCCUGAGGAAUAAGACAAUCACGUACGACAUUCCUAUAAAUUACUGCAAGGUGAAGGAAAUCAAUUGGGCCCUUACAAGGGCCGAUGGAAAAACCAGGAAGCCUAACAACGAGGAGGCUACUGCCAUGGUCUUCUGCUGCCUGUCACUUCAAAGUUCGAUGUGUUGUGCAUUCAGAGAUGCUUUUCUGCACACCACUGUAGUAACGAGUGGUUAUUUGAGUUACUGUCACCUUCCUGUCAGCUUGAAACAGUCUGGCCGUUCUCCUCUGACCCCUCCCAUUAACAAGGCAUUUCACCAGAACUGCUGCACACUGGAUAUUUUUUUUGCACCGUUCUCUAUAAACUCUAGAGACUGUUGUGCCAGGAGAUCAGAAGUCUCUGAGAUACUCAAACCACCCCAUCUGGCACCACCAAUCAUUCCACAGUCAAAGUCACUCAGAUCACGUUUCUUCCCCAUUCUGAUAUCUGCUCAGAACAACAACUGAAUCUCUUGACCAUGUCUGUGUGCUUUCAUGCAUUGAGUUGCUGCCACCUGAUUGGCUGAUUAGAUAUUUGCAAUGAUAAGCAGGAGCACAGGUGUACCUAAUAAAGUGGCCACUGCCCGGAAAGGACAGCUUCUUGUUGUAUUUCUAAUAAAACUGGGCCUUGGAGAAUUGCAGUACGACUUCCGUACUUUUAUACUUCUUGAAGUAAGAGCCAACACUCCAUUAUCCUUGCCUAUUACCUGUUCUAUUGUUGGCCUGGCUUUCUCUAUUCCCUAAAUCCCAAGGUCUCUCUAUACUUGGCAAUUAUUCCCCAUUUCAAUAACACUCUGUUCACUUAUUCCUCCUUCCAAAUUGAACAAUGGCCAACCUUUUGCACAGUCACUUAACCAUAGAUAGAUGGAAAAUGGAUGAGAUAGUGAGGGAGGUAGAUAGAGAGAUAGAGUGAGUGAGGUAGAUAGAGAGAGAGACAGAAAGAAGGGAGAAGAGAGACAGAGAGAGAGAGACAGAGAGAGAUAGAGUGAGCGAGGUAGAUGGAGAGAGAGAAAGAGAAAGGAAGAGAGACAGAAAGAAGGGAGAAGAGAGACAGGGAGAGAGAGUGGAAUUGAGAGUGAAUGAGAGGGUAGGAGAGGGAGCAAGAGAAAAGGAGAGAUAUGAGGGACAGAGAAAGCCGGACAGAGAUUAGAUAAGAUGGACUGAGAGAGGUAGAUGGAGAGAGAGAGACCCACACACACAGAAAGAGAGAAAGGAAGAGAGACAGACAGAGAAAGCAAAAGAGAGAGAGAGAAUGGGAUUGAAGGGGUGGGAAUGGGAGUGAGAUAGGACAAGAGGAAGAGAGACUGAGAAUAGGAGUGAAACAUUGUCAGCAAUAUAAAUAAGUGAAGACAGAAUAUGGGAGGGUCAGAGAAUAGGAAAGAGAGAGAGAGUAAAGGUAGGGAAACGAAGGGGCGGGAAGACAGAGGAGGGGAUGGCUGAAGUGUUAUGCUCCUUACUCUAAGAGAUGUGGGAAAAUGAGAGAAGAAGAUGCGAAGUCCAAUGCCUUUCCUCAACACUUCUUCCUUCUUCUCCACAACUUCCUCCUUCCCUUCAACUCUUCCUCCUUCCUCUCCUCAACUCUUCCUCCUUCUUCUCCUCAACUUCCUCCUUCCCUUCCUCAACACUUCCUCCUUCCUCUCCUCAACACUUCCUCCUUCUUCUCCUCAACUUCCUCCUUCCUCUCCUCAACUCUUCCUCCUUCUUCUCCUCAACUUCCUCCUUCCCUUCCUCAACACUUCCUCCUUCCUCUCCUCAACUCUUCCUCCUUCCUCUCCUCAACUCUUCCUCUCCUCAACUCUUCCUCCUUCCCCUCCUCCCCCUCCGAGGUAACAGAGCAAGGAGACGGUGAGGAAGGGCUUGUGAUGUGGCAGCCAAUGAUCGCCGAGGCCUCAGACCUCACCUGGAAAUGCAGUGACUCAGAUACCUGGGUGUGCAGGCCUUUCUGUCCAUCAGAGCUCUGCUAGCUCCCUGAAGAUGCUUGUGGUGCCACUCUCCUCACUGAGAGGACCAAAUGUUUGGGCAAAGCUCCCAUGCCACCCCAGACUGCUCUCUCCUGUCUCCUGCCCGCCAAAAGACCUAGACAGAGUGGACGUGGAGAAGAUGUUUCCUAUAGCGGGGAAGAGUAUGACCAGAGGGCACAACAGAAUGAAGAGACAUCGAAUGAGAACAGAGCUAUUGUUGGUGGGCAUUUGGGGAGUCGGCGCAAGGGGGUGAGAGAGAGAGAGAGAGAGGACGCGACGCUGUAAGCUGGGCGACGGAACAGACUCCGAGAGGGGGUCCGAGGCCAGGGUUUUUGGCGAGGAGAGGAGACGAAGACAGACGUGCCGAGGGUGCUUGGUUGACCACUUCGGGUGGUCCUGAGCUGCGAGUCGAGGAGUUCGGAGCGGAUCGAAUGGUGGCCAGAAGACUUCAGUAAUUGAGCUCCAACGGCUGUGCACGAAGUGGUUUGGACUUUGAUAAGUUUGGCACCUGUUCUUUAUUUUCUUUUCCUUCAUAUAUACUGUAUCGUUAUUAAUCACUUAGUUUUAGUAAUCUCUACAAAGAGUAAUCAUUUAAUUGCAUAUAGUGUACUGUCUGUCAUUUGGCGGGGUGGGGAUAUAACGCAGCAUCCACACAAGCUGAUUACCUAGUCUGGCCGGGCCAAAGGCUGCUCCCCCUAGAUGGAAGCGAGCUGAGCGAGCCUGAGGCCUACCAGGGCGCUACGUCAGUAUAUUGAGUCAAGCAGGCCUGUGGUUCCAGGAGUGCCUCGAAAUGAUUCCUGUUCACGCAUUUUUGCUAGAAUAAAGUAUUUCAUGUCCACUAGCUUCAGGGUCUCUCUGGGAACCUUCUUCAU